GUCUACAGCCAAACUAUUACAGUUAAGCCUGUUUUCAUCUGAUCACAGAAGCUAAACAGAGUCAAGUCUGGUCAGUGCUGGAAUGGGAGACCACCUCCAAAUGGCUGAAACCCAGGUGCUGUAGGCA
This is a ribosomal RNA of Gambusia affinis (western mosquitofish), 127 nucleotides long. The record is from Ensembl. NCBI's taxonomy places the organism in Eukaryota, Metazoa, Chordata, Actinopteri, Cyprinodontiformes, Poeciliidae.